Molecule: long non-coding RNA, 553 nt
Organism: Nicotiana tabacum (common tobacco)
Lineage: Eukaryota; Viridiplantae; Streptophyta; Magnoliopsida; Solanales; Solanaceae
Source: RefSeq, a predicted model, not a curated record
CGCUUCUCUCAUUCAGAAAUUUCUUUGUUCUAUUUUCCCAUUCUCUUCUUUGUAAACUUAAGCAUCCCUUCUUCUCCAAUGGCCUCCCCUCUAACCGACCUAAAGCAUUGCAUUGGCUAUCCAUCACUGAAAAGCUCUUAACGAAUCGUGACCUAUUUGGCAACAAAUCAUUCGCGACCUGUGCCCGUGAAUCCGACCCGACAUUAGCACCUGCUACCGAUCGAAUACUCAGCAUCGGUUGAUACUUUAAGCGCCGACGACAAAAGGAUAAACAAUCAUCACUUCGACUACUACUCUAUUCUCCAAAUCCAAUACAAGCUUGCGAUUUCGGGAAUCCCUUCACUCCGAUGAGUAGGUCUUGGAUACCAAAGUUUGUCCUGAUAUAGCGGCUGCUGAGCUAACACUUCAGGUUUCAUAAGCCCACAAUUGGAUCCGUAUCCAGAAAAAAGCAUCCAAGGUCAAUCUCAUCGUUGAUGCUGCUACAAGAAUUCUUGAAGCAAAAAACUUUCCUUCUCAUUGGCUAUUCAAUGUAUUCAAGGCAAACUCUAGCUGC